UGCUCAUCACAACUUCUCCUACUUAAAAUAUUUUAUAAAGUUUUAUUUUAAGCUUUUAGCUUUUGUCGCCUUUGUUUCUGCCCAUUUACCCUGAGGAAAACAUAAAUAUUCGACAUAAAAGUUUUAGAAAUUUUGAUUGCCAACACAAAGAACAACCAUAAACGUGCUGCAGCACGAUAUGAUGUUUGAAGCACAAAGCAAAACAAAAAAGAAC
This 214-nucleotide long non-coding RNA is filed under the name Daucus carota (carrot). RNAcentral describes it as "long non-coding RNA (DCAR_LNC004503)". Lineage: Eukaryota; Viridiplantae; Streptophyta; Magnoliopsida; Apiales; Apiaceae. The record is from RNAcentral.